UUGACCUCAAAUCGGGUGGGACUACCCGCUGAACUUAAGCAUAUCAAUAAGCGGAGGAAAAGAAACUAACAAGGAUUCCCCUAGUAACGGCGAGUGAAGAGGGAAAAGCUCAAAUUUUGAAUCUGGUGUCUUUGACUCCAGAGUUGUAAUCUAGAGAAGUGUUUUCCGUGUCGGACCGUGCACAAGUUCCCUGGAACGGGGCGUCAUGGAGGGUGAGAAUCCCGUAUAUGGCAUGGACUACCGAUGCUUUUGUGAUACACUCUCAACGAGUCGAGUUGUUUGGGAAUGCAGCUCAAAAUGGGUGGUAAAUUCCAUCUAAAGCUAAAUAUUGGCGAGAGACCGAUAGCGAACAAGUACCGUGAGGGAAAGAUGAAAAGCACUUUGGAAAGAGAGUGAAACAGUACGUGAAAUUGUUGAAAGGGAAGCGUUUGAAAUCAGUCGUAUCUGGUGGGAUUCAGCCGGGCUUUUGCCAGGUGUACUUCUCGUCCGAUGGGUCAGCAUCAAUUUUGACCGGGGGAAAAAGACGUGUGGAAUGUGGCUGUCUUCG
This 547-nucleotide ribosomal RNA is filed under the name salal root associated fungus UBCTRA 1542.10. RNAcentral describes it as "eukaryotic LSU rRNA". It matches the Rfam family "Eukaryotic large subunit ribosomal RNA", at positions 1 to 548 of the family's 3401-position model. The record is from RNAcentral. Lineage: Eukaryota; Fungi; Basidiomycota; Agaricomycetes; Sebacinales; Sebacinaceae.